RNAcentral lists this ribosomal RNA (466 nucleotides) under uncultured soil bacterium. Its description in RNAcentral is "bacterial SSU rRNA". It matches the Rfam family "Bacterial small subunit ribosomal RNA", at positions 26 to 518 of the family's 1533-position model. The record is from RNAcentral.
AGGACGAACGCUGGCGGCGUGCCUAACACAUGCAAGUCGAACGGAGGUAGCAAUACCUCAGUGGCGAACGGGUGCGUAACACGUGAGAAAUCUGUCCAUCGGCGGGGGAUAGCCGGCCCAACGGCCGGGUAAUACCGCGUACGUCGGCGAGAGCGCAUGCUCAUGCCGGGAAAGCAGCAAUGCACCGAUGGAGGAUCUCGCGGCCUAUCAGCUUGUUGGUGAGGUAACGGCUCACCAAGGCGACGACGGGUAGCUGGUCUGAGAGGAUGAUCAGCCACAUUGGGACUGAGACACGGCCCAGACUCCUACGGGAGGCAGCAGUGGGGAAUAUUGCGCAAUGGGGGAAACCCUGACGCAGCGACGCCGCGUGUGGGAUGACGGCCUUCGGUUGUAACCACUGUCGCGAGGACGAAGAUCUGACGUACCUACGAAAGGAAGCACCGGCUAACUCUGUGCCAGCAGCCGC